UAAUUGAAGAGUUUGAUCAUGGCUCAGAUUGAACGCUGGCGGCAGGCCUAACACAUGCAAGUCGGGCGGUAACAGGGAGAAGCUUGCUUCUCUGCUGACGAGCGGCGGACGGGUGAGUAAUGUAUGGGGAUCUGCCUGAUGGAGGGGGAUAACUACUGGAAACGGUAGCUAAUACCGCAUAAUGUCUCCGGACCAAAGCGGGGGACCUUCGGGCCUCGCACCAUCAGAUGAACCCAUAUGGGAUUAGCUAGUAGGUAAGGUAACGGCUUACCUAGGCGACGAUCCCUAGCUGGUCUGAGAGGAUGAUCAGCCACACUGGGACUGAGACACGGCCCAGACUCCUACGGGAGGCAGCAGUGGGGAAUAUUGCACAAUGGGCGCAAGCCUGAUGCAGCCAUGCCGCGUGUAUGAAGAAGGCCUUCGGGUUGUAAAGUACUUUCAGUCGGGAGGAAGGUGUUAAGGUUAAUAACCUUG
RNAcentral lists this ribosomal RNA (474 nucleotides) under Morganella morganii. RNAcentral describes it as "bacterial SSU rRNA". It matches the Rfam family "Bacterial small subunit ribosomal RNA", at positions 1 to 471 of the family's 1533-position model. Lineage: Bacteria; Pseudomonadati; Pseudomonadota; Gammaproteobacteria; Enterobacterales; Morganellaceae. The record is from RNAcentral.